GUGGGGGCUUUCCACGAGGCUCACCUGAGCAGAAGUUGUUUGCAGGCAUGAGAAAUCACAGUGAGAGCAACGCUUUUUCACCAUAUGUUAAUGUGAAGAGUGAACAGUAAAUGGUUAAUCUUACUGCGAUCUGGUUCUCAUUGACUGUGGUUUAUCUCGACGUUGAAUUCGACGUUAUCAGUUACACGCGAAGGAGAACGUUACAACCAUUAUGCUAUCAAUACAGAACAGAUCCCUUGAAGAUGGCCUGCAGUAAACCUGCAAUUCCAAAUGGCUUCAAGAAACACUGGGGAAAACUGUUCUACUGAAACAACCUACAAAUAUACAUCAAUUUGCCUUUAUCUAUUUCAAGGAACUACUGGAGUUUAGAGCUGGUCUGUAAAUGAAGUGCAGGAUAUGAAAUCUUUAUCAAAACCUUCCCAAGGUGUUCUGAAAAUGAUGUUUCGCCACCAUCAGCUUACUGCAGUUGCAAACAGACAUCAAACUUAGUGGAUGCAUAAAUGUUAGUUUCAGAAACCCAGCAGGAAUUGCUUCAUGACUGAAGUUUUUUACACGUUAUUUGACCGGCUUGGCAAUCUGGAAUUCUGAGUUCAGCAUCUGAUAAACCGCCUUGAAGAUCUGACUGUUACUGUGAAUGAAAUACAUUCUGUAAUGAACAUCACUAAAACAGUUGAUUACAAGAAGAUAAUCUCAAGGUUGUAUACUGUAAUGCUUUGAGAAAAGUGGGAUAGAAACAGUCUUUGAACCUGGUGAUGCACAAGCUGAAUCCCACCACAGUGGUUCAAGGAAAUUUAAACUCCACAGGCCAGUUAUGCUCCCAUAUUGCCUCACGUGAAACCUGCCAGAGGUAGCUGAGGAGUUUUAUGCCUAGGCAUGUAUAGGUUUCAAUAAUCAUUCAACAGCUGGAGAAGACAGCGACAAGCACAAGUUUG
Long non-coding RNA from Hypanus sabinus (Atlantic stingray), 932 nucleotides. RefSeq lists it as uncharacterized. The record is from RefSeq and is a predicted model, not a curated record. Lineage: Eukaryota; Metazoa; Chordata; Chondrichthyes; Myliobatiformes; Dasyatidae. The transcript is spliced from 7 exons.